UUGUCUAUUGCCUCACUUCCCUCUUGUCUCUCCAAGGCACUGUGCUACACUGCGGGAACAUAGCAGUGAAUAAGACAGAGGUGGCUCC
This 88-nucleotide long non-coding RNA is filed under the name Callithrix jacchus (white-tufted-ear marmoset). Its description in RNAcentral is "lncRNA (ENSCJAG00000080870.1)". The record is from RNAcentral. Lineage: Eukaryota; Metazoa; Chordata; Mammalia; Primates; Cebidae.